CCUACGGGAGGCUGCAGUGGGGAAUUUUGGACAAUGGGGGCAACCCUGAUCCAGCCAUGCCGCGUGCGGGAAGAAGGCCUUCGGGUUGUAAACCGCUUUUGUCAGGGAAGAAAUCUUCCGAGCUAAUACCUUGGGAGGAUGACGGUACCUGAAGAAUAAGCACCGGCUAACUACGUGCCAGCAGCCGCGGUAAUACGUAGGGUGCAAGCUGGAAUCGGAAUUACUGGGCGUGGAUCGUGCGGACAGGGGUGAAAUCCCCGGGCGUAACCUGGGAACUGCACUUGUGACUGUACGGCUGGAGUACGGCAGAGGGGGAUGGAAUUCCGCGUGUAGCAGUGAAAUGCGUAGAUAUGCGGAGGAACACCGAUGGCGAAGGCAGUCCCCUGGGCCUGUACUGACGCUCAUGCACGAAAGCGUGGGGAGCAAACAGGAUUAGAUACCCUAGUAGUC
Molecule: ribosomal RNA, 450 nt
Filed under: uncultured bacterium
Lineage: Bacteria
Description: partial 16S ribosomal RNA
Rfam family: Bacterial small subunit ribosomal RNA
Source: RNAcentral